RNAcentral lists this ribosomal RNA (554 nucleotides) under Diaporthe sp. Fun101W1. RNAcentral describes it as "eukaryotic LSU rRNA". The stretch from base 177 to 330 matches the Rfam family "5.8S ribosomal RNA". Lineage: Eukaryota; Fungi; Ascomycota; Sordariomycetes; Diaporthales; Diaporthaceae. The record is from RNAcentral.
AUUGCUGGAAGCGCCCCUGGCGCACCCAUCCCCUUUGUGAACUCAUACCUUACUGUUUCCUCGGCGCAGGCCGUCCCCCCUGGGGUCCCUUCUGUCUCAGGAGGAGCAGCCGGCCGGUGGCCAAACCAACUCUGUUUUUACACUGUAACUCUGAGUACAAAACAUAAAUGAAUCAAAACUUUCAACAACGGAUCUCUUGGUUCUGGCAUCGAUGAAGAACGCAGCGAAAUGCGAUAAGUAAUGUGAAUUGCAGAAUUCAGUGAAUCAUCGAAUCUUUGAACGCACAUUGCGCCCUCUGGUAUUCCGGAGGGCAUGCCUGUUCGAGCGUCAUUUCAACCCUCAAGCCUGGCUUGGUGCUGGGGCACUGCUUCUCCCCGGGGGAGCAGGCCCUGAAAUAUAGUGGCGGGCUCGCCAGGACUCCGAGCGUAGUAGUUAAACCCUCGCUUUGGAAGGCCUGGCGGUGCCCUGCCGUUAAACCCCAACUCCUGAAAAUUUGACCUCGGAUCAGGUAGGAAUACCCGCUGAACUUAAGCAUAUCAUUUAAGCGGAGGAAA